Equus asinus (donkey) is the source of this 2201-nucleotide long non-coding RNA. NCBI's taxonomy places the organism in Eukaryota, Metazoa, Chordata, Mammalia, Perissodactyla, Equidae. The record is from Ensembl.
CAGCUGGUUGGCUAAAUACAGUAAGACCCAGAUUUAUAACACAUCCUGUACUGUGUUAUGGUCUCUCAUUAGCCCUUAAAUAAAUUGUUUACCUUGACUUCCAAACCCGUCAUACCAUAAUUUCUUUAUAUAUAUAUAUAUAUGCAAGCUCCAAAAUGAUUAAACAAGGCAAUUUUUUUGGUGAAGGUAUUUAAUGAACCAACAAGCCACCUGAUUUAAACUCAAUUUUUCCAAAAGAUUAUUUAUUUUAUGUCUAUGGGAAACGAAACUGUCUACGAAGAUGUCCAUUCAGUCUCCGUAAAAAAAAGAAUAAGCCUAGUGGACGUAUUUCUUAAAUGUACAGAUUUAUUUAUGAAUGAGUCAUAAUUUCAUAUACGUUUACAAAAAAUACCCAUUCUUUCGCUAUUCUCUUCUUUCAUGAGACAUUUAUGCUGAUAAUACGAUUGCAAGGCUUACAAACACGUCAAUGUUAUUCACAGAGUUACAAAAAGGUUGAUGCAUUUUUUUCUCCUUAUUAUAAAGCAAGUCGGUGUGCAGAAUCUGACCUCAAAGGCAAUCCUUGAUGCUUCGUUGGGGAGGAAUGUGGCUGUUGUCCAAGAACGGUACCUCUUUUUAACCCAAAUGUUCCGAGCUAGUUAACAACAGGACCCAGUCGUACUGGAGAAGGCAGACCUCAGCCCAUGAGAAUUGACUGACCUCAUCAUUUGAUGGAUGAGUGACACAUCUGUUACACCCUCUAGAAUCCAGGAUGUCGUGUCCUCCACUGUAUGCACCUGGGCCCCAGAGGGAGGCCAAUAGGUGUUGGUUGCCCGAAACAAUGAAUGCAAAUGAUAAAUAACCAGGGGUCUCGAUCCUUUCUUCAGCCUGUUUCACACGCUCAAACACAGAAAAACAACAAAUACCGAAAGAGCCCGACAAUGGUCCUCAUUGAUAUCUUGAGACUCAAGCUCUGGGAGCUUUUAGACAAGGAGAGAAGCAAGGACCCGUGAACGGAUGUGGGUGUGGGGAGGGCUGGAGGCCUCGACAGAAGGGGGACACCGCCGAUGCCCACCUGCCAAACUACGGGCGGGGCUGAUGAGCUUCAAAGAGCAAAAGACCCAGAAUGGACGGCUGACGUCUCCAUCCCAGCCCUUUCCCCACAUCCGGAGAUCCGUGCUGGCAGCCCACACAGGUGGGUAAAUAACAGCCCACCUUUGAAGUGGGAGAGACUUGCGUGGAACCUGACUUUGCCCGCAAGCAGCAGCUCCUAACACCGCUACGAGUGACAAGAUUAAGUAUUCUCAUUCUGCGGGUAACUAUCCUAAGAGCUUUUGUUAGCGCCGCUGCAAGGCAGACUGAAGACAUCCUAAUUUUUCGGCGGAGGGAACUUUAUGGAUGAGGUCCACGCCGUCUACAAUAUCAGGGCUUCUCGACUUUCUGAGGUCAACACAAAAAUGCAAGCAAAGCCCUUUCCAAGCUUCUCUAUAAAAGCACGCAUUUUUGGAAGCACUGGAGCAUGUGCAUCGCCUGAGAUGGGGAAAGGCUUCUAAACAGGGAGGAGUCGUCGCUCAUGGCAAGGAGGAAGACUGCCUUCAGUUCCUUCCAAGCUGUCGGAAAGGAUCUAAGGAGAUUCUCUGCCGAAGAGCAGUUUUACCCUGCGGUUAAACUGAGCUCUCACAUCAAAGCAGUUAUACAUUUUGGAAAGACGAUAAAAAAAAAAAAAAACAGUUCACAAAUUCAUGGCAUUCACUCACGUGGAAGAACGAAAGGGGAGUAUCUGAUAAGGAGGAGCAUCUUCUGAGGGGGAGUAUCUGGUGUGUGGGGAGGCGGAGUAUCUGAUGCAGGGGAGAAUCUGAUACAGAGGAGUAUCUGCUGAGGAGGAGUAUCUGAUACAGAGGAUAUCUGAUACAGAGGAGUAUCUGCUGAGGGGGAGUAUCUGAUGCAGGGAGUAUCUGAUACAGAGAAGUAGCUGAUGAGGAGGAGUAUCUGAUACAGAGGAGUAUCUGCUGAGGGGGAGUAUCUGAUGUAGGGAGUAUCUGAUACAGAGAAGUAGCUGAUGAGGAGGAGUAUCUGAUGGGGAGUAUCUGAUGCAGGGAGUAUCUGAUACAGAGAAGUAGCUGAUGAGGAGGAGUAUCUGAUACAGAGGAGUAUCUGCUGAGGGGGAGUAUCUGAUGCAGGGAGUAUCUGAUACAGAGAAGUAGCUGAUGAGGAGGAGAUAUGAG